AUCUGCAUUUUUUAAAAGGCUUGCACCUUAUACCAGUUAUUCUAAUAUGUGUCCAGGAUGAGAACCUUAGAGGAAGAUGGUCUUUGAGGACUGCUAUCCAUGAUAAUUCCAUGAGUAGGAAUUUGGGAGAUUUCUUCGCACAUUUUAACCAAAUCCUUCAGUGACUGGAGUGAUUUGCUGGUUACCUUAACUUGACGAUCCAACUGGAACAAAUUCUGGAAGAGAUGACGGGGACCCACUCCUUCUGAUUCUUGGAUCUGCAUAUGGAGAUGCUGACAGAUUGUAUGAUAAUUCUACACAGCCCUCUGUGACUCAAGUGAACCAAGAUCGAACUAUAAGAUUCUGAGGGGAAUGCACAUAGUGAAGACACAAUUUUGAAGUGAAUUGUUGGAGACUUUUAUCCCUUCAUCAAGUUAAAAAAGCCAGAACCUGGGUGGAGCAAGAUGGCAGACGAAUAACACCGCCAGACAGAGUGUCUCUGCAGAAAAGACAGAUUCUA
Microcebus murinus (gray mouse lemur) is the source of this 499-nucleotide non-coding RNA. The record is from RefSeq and is a predicted model, not a curated record. Lineage: Eukaryota; Metazoa; Chordata; Mammalia; Primates; Cheirogaleidae.